This 94-nucleotide small nuclear RNA is filed under the name Tupaia belangeri chinensis (Chinese tree shrew). The record is from RNAcentral. Lineage: Eukaryota; Metazoa; Chordata; Mammalia; Scandentia; Tupaiidae.
GUGCUCACUUCAGCAGCACAUAUACUAAAAUUGGAACGAUACAUGGCCCCUGUAUAAGGAAGACUUGCAAAUUCAUGACAAAAAAAAUACUACA